This 85-nucleotide transfer RNA is filed under the name Synechococcus elongatus PCC 7942 = FACHB-805. RNAcentral's name for it is "tRNA-Ser (TGA) (tRNA-Ser-TGA-1-1)". It matches the Rfam family "tRNA". From Rfam's summary of the family: Transfer RNA (tRNA) molecules are approximately 80 nucleotides in length. Their secondary structure includes four short double-helical elements and three loops (D, anti-codon, and T loops). Further hydrogen bonds mediate the characteristic L-shaped molecular structure. tRNAs have two regions of fundamental functional importance: the anti-codon, which is responsible for specific mRNA codon recognition, and the 3' end, to which the tRNAs corresponding amino acid is attached (by aminoacyl-tRNA synthetases). tRNAs cope with the degeneracy of the genetic code in two manners: having more than one tRNA (with a specific anti-codon) for a particular amino acid; and 'wobble' base-pairing, i.e. permitting non-standard base-pairing at the 3rd anti-codon position. Lineage: Bacteria; Bacillati; Cyanobacteriota; Cyanophyceae; Synechococcales; Synechococcaceae. RNAcentral also lists the same sequence under 7 other names. The record is from Rfam by way of RNAcentral.
GGAGAGGUGGCAGAGUGGUCGAAUGCGAACGACUUGAAAUCGUUUGAACCGCAAGGUUCCGUGGGUUCGAAUCCCACCCUCUCCG